AGCGAACGCUGGCGGCAGGCCUAACACAUGCAAGUCGAACGGACCCUUCGGGGUUAGUGGCGGACGGGUGAGUAACACGUGGGAACGUGCCUUUAGGUUCGGAAUAGCUCCUGGAAACGGGUGGUAAUGCCGAAUGUGCCCUUCGGGGGAAAGAUUUAUCGCCUUUAGAGCGGCCCGCGUCUGAUUAGCUAGUUGGUGAGGUAAUGGCUCACCAAGGCGACGAUCAGUAGCUGGUCUGAGAGGAUGACCAGCCACAUUGGGACUGAGACACGGCCCAAAACUCCUACCGGGAGGCAGCAGUGGGGAAUCUUGCGCAAUGGGCGAAAGCCUGACGCAGCCAUGCCGCGUGAAUGAUGAAGGUCUUAGGAUUGUAAAAUUCUUUCACCGGGGACGAUAAUGACGGUACCCGGAGAAGAAGCCCCGGCUAACUUCGUGCCAGCAGCCGCCGU
Molecule: ribosomal RNA, 449 nt
Filed under: uncultured Alphaproteobacteria bacterium
Lineage: Bacteria; Pseudomonadati; Pseudomonadota; Alphaproteobacteria
Description: bacterial SSU rRNA
Rfam family: Bacterial small subunit ribosomal RNA
Source: RNAcentral